Long non-coding RNA from Eleginops maclovinus (Patagonian blennie), 575 nucleotides. RefSeq lists it as uncharacterized. The record is from RefSeq and is a predicted model, not a curated record. The transcript has 3 exons. NCBI's taxonomy places the organism in Eukaryota, Metazoa, Chordata, Actinopteri, Perciformes, Eleginopidae.
CAUUGAGGUCCAAAUAAAGUGUGGGCGCUGUGGCUAUCUUACGUGUACAGUGAUUUGUUCGUAGAUAAAGUGAGGAUGGAAGAUCACCGAUGCAUGAAUGGAUAAAGGGACGAUGAACUGUCUGUCUGCUGAACUUUACCUGGCGUUGCAACAAACUGCGGGACGCACCUGUGUUUUUAAGGCCACACCACCACGCGUUGCUGGACUUAUCCAAGCUGUUGUUUACGUCUUCAGCAUUGCAUGUUUCAUCAGCUGCAUACAAACAUUAGUUAUUCGUGAAUACAUCGGCUAAAGAUACCUGCAAAUCAGCUGCCUGGCUCUGCUGGCAAUCAGCUCCAUGAAUCUUAAGAAGUGGACAUUGAGGCUGUGGCGGUCUUCAUGUAACAGAUCUCCUGUUCUCCCCCCCCACCCAGGACAGGGAAAAAACAAGCACAAGCUGCAGCGUCCAACCAGGCUAAACCAAGUGGCUGCCUCUUUUCAUGAACACUGCUGCUGGAGUCGGUUCCACAUGGCACACAAGUGUGAAAUUGGUGAGUAGAUUACAUGCGAGUGCGAUGAUGUGAGAGCAGCUGGUC